GAAGACCAAGGGUUCCUGUCCAACGUUAAUCGGGGCAGGGUGAGUCGACCCCUAAGGCGAGGCCGAAAGGCGUAGUCGAUGGGAAACAGGUUAAUAUUCCUGUACUUGGUGUUACUGCGAAGGGGGGACGGAGAAGGCUAUGUUGGCCGGGCGACGGUUGUCCCGGUUUAAGCGUGUAGGCUGGUUUUCCAGGCAAAUCCGGAAAAUCAAGGCUGAGGCGUGAUGACGAGGCACUACGGUGCUGAAGCAACAAAUGCCCUGCUUCCAGGAAAAGCCUCUAAGCAUCAGGUAACAUCAAAUCGUACCCCAAACCGACACAGGUGGUCAGGUAGAGAAUACCAAGGCGCUUGAGAGAACUCGGGUGAAGGAACUAGGCAAAAUGGUGCCGUAACUUCGGGAGAA
This 402-nucleotide ribosomal RNA is filed under the name Escherichia coli. RNAcentral's name for it is "partial 23S ribosomal RNA". It matches the Rfam family "Bacterial large subunit ribosomal RNA", at positions 1340 to 1744 of the family's 2925-position model. The record is from RNAcentral. Lineage: Bacteria; Pseudomonadati; Pseudomonadota; Gammaproteobacteria; Enterobacterales; Enterobacteriaceae.